GCAGCACGGGUGCUUGCACCUGGUGGCGAGUGGCGAACGGGUGAGUAAUACAUCGGAACAUGUCCUGUAGUGGGGGAUAGCCCGGCGAAAGCCGGAUUAAUACCGCAUACGAUCUACGGAUGAAAGCGGGGGACCUUCGGGCCUCGCGCUAUAGGGUUGGCCGAUGGCUGAUUAGCUAGUUGGUGGGGUAAAGGCCUACCAAGGCGACGAUCAGUAGCUGGUCUGAGAGGACGACCAGCCACACUGGGACUGAGACACGGCCCAGACUCCUACGGGAGGCAGCAGUGGGGAAUUUUGGACAAUGGGCGAAAGCCUGAUCCAGCAAUGCCGCGUGUGUGAAGAAGGCCUUCGGGUUGUAAAGCACUUUUGUCCGGAAAGAAAUCCUUGGCUCUAAUACAGUCGGGGGAUGACGGUACCGGAAGAAUAAGCACCGGCUAACUACGUGCCAGCAGCCGCGGUAAUACGUAGGGUGCGAGCGUUAAUCGGAAUUACUGGGCGUAAAGCGUGCGCAGGCGGUUUGCUAAGACCGAUGUGAAAUCCCCGGGCUCAACCUGGGAACUGCAUUGGUGACUGGCAGGCUAGAGUAUGGCAGAGGGGGGUAGAAUUCCACGUGUAGCAGUGAAAUGCGUAGAGAUGUGGAGGAAUACCGAUGGCGAAGGCAGCCCCCUGGGCCAAUACUGACGCUCAUGCACGAAAGCGUGGGGAGCAAAC
RNAcentral lists this ribosomal RNA (711 nucleotides) under uncultured bacterium. Its description in RNAcentral is "bacterial SSU rRNA". It matches the Rfam family "Bacterial small subunit ribosomal RNA", at positions 66 to 773 of the family's 1533-position model. The record is from RNAcentral.